Molecule: ribosomal RNA, 247 nt
Filed under: uncultured Desulfonispora sp.
Lineage: Bacteria; Bacillati; Bacillota; Clostridia; Eubacteriales; Peptococcaceae
Description: partial 16S ribosomal RNA
Rfam family: Bacterial small subunit ribosomal RNA
Source: RNAcentral
CACGCCGUAAACGAUGGGUACUAGGUGUUGGGGGUUUCGACGCCCUCAGUGCCGGAGUUAACACAUUAAGUACCCCGCCUGGGGAGUACGGUCGCAAGACUGAAACUCAAAGAAAUUGACGGGGGCCCGCACAAGCGGUGGAGCAUGUGGUUUAAUUCGACGCAACGCGAAGAACCUUACCAAGGCUUGACAUCCCUCUGACCGUUCCUUAAUCGGAACUUUCCUUCGGGACAGAGGAGACAGGUGG